This 465-nucleotide ribosomal RNA is filed under the name uncultured bacterium. Its description in RNAcentral is "partial 16S ribosomal RNA". It matches the Rfam family "Bacterial small subunit ribosomal RNA", at positions 28 to 507 of the family's 1533-position model. The record is from RNAcentral.
GACGAACGCUGGCGGCGUGCUUAACACAUGCAAGUCGAACGGAAAGGCCCUGCUUGCAGGGUACUCGAGUGGCGAACGGGUGAGUAACACGUGGGUGAUCUGCCCUGCACUUCGGGAUAAGCCUGGGAAACUGGGUCUAAUACCGGAUAGGAGCCAUUUUUAGUGUGAUGGUUGGAAAGUUUUUUCGGUGUAGGAUGAGCUCGCGGCCUAUCAGCUUGUUGGUGGGGUAAUGGCCUACCAAGGCGGCGACGGGUAGCCGGCCUGCGGGGGUGGACGGCCACAUUGGGACUGAGAUACGGCCCAGACUCCUACGGGGGGCAGCAGUGGGGAAUAUUGCGCAAUAGGCGCCAGCCUGAUGCAGCGACGCCGCGUGGGGGGUGACGGCCUUCGGGUUGUAAACUCCUUUCGCUAGGGACGAAGCUUUUUGUGACGGUACCUAGAUAAGAAGCACCGGCUAACUACGUG